UACAGAGGGGGCAAGCGUUGUUCGGAAUUACUGGGCGUAAAGGGUGCGCAGGCGGCACCGCAAGUCGAGUGUGAAAGCCCCGGGCUUAACUUGGGAAUUGCGCUCGAAACUAUGGUGCUGGAGUGUGGCAGAGGAAGGUGGAAUUCCACGUGUAGCGGUGAAAUGCGUAGAGAUGUGGAGGAACACCAGUGGCGAAGGCGGCUUUCUGGUCUGUAACUGACGCUGAGGCGCGAAAGCGUGGGGAGCAAACAGG
Molecule: ribosomal RNA, 253 nt
Filed under: uncultured bacterium
Lineage: Bacteria
Description: partial 16S ribosomal RNA
Rfam family: Bacterial small subunit ribosomal RNA
Source: RNAcentral